RNAcentral lists this ribosomal RNA (1374 nucleotides) under Microbacterium sp. Its description in RNAcentral is "bacterial SSU rRNA". It matches the Rfam family "Bacterial small subunit ribosomal RNA". Lineage: Bacteria; Bacillati; Actinomycetota; Actinomycetes; Micrococcales; Microbacteriaceae. The record is from RNAcentral.
CGACGGUGAGCAGAGCUUGCUCUGUGGAUCAGUGGCGAACGGGUGAGUAACACGUGAGCAAUCUGCCCCUGACUCUGGGAUAAGCGCUGGAAACGGCGUCUAAUACCGGAUACGAGCUGCGACCGCAUGGUCAGUAGCUGGAAAGAAUUUCGGUCAGGGAUGAGCUCGCGGCCUAUCAGCUUGUUGGUGAGGUAAUGGCUCACCAAGGCGUCGACGGGUAGCCGGCCUGAGAGGGUGACCGGCCACACUGGGACUGAGACACGGCCCAGACUCCUACGGGAGGCAGCAGUGGGGAAUAUUGCACAAUGGGCGCAAGCCUGAUGCAGCAACGCCGCGUGAGGGAUGACGGCCUUCGGGUUGUAAACCUCUUUUAGCAGGGAAGAAGCGAAAGUGACGGUACCUGCAGAAAAAGCGCCGGCUAACUACGUGCCAGCAGCCGCGGUAAUACGUAGGGCGCAAGCGUUAUCCGGAAUUAUUGGGCGUAAAGAGCUCGUAGGCGGUCUGUCGCGUCUGCUGUGAAAACCCGAGGCUCAACCUCGGGCCUGCAGUGGGUACGGGCAGACUAGAGUGCGGUAGGGGAGAUUGGAAUUCCUGGUGUAGCGGUGGAAUGCGCAGAUAUCAGGAGGAACACCGAUGGCGAAGGCAGAUCUCUGGGCCGUAACUGACGCUGAGGAGCGAAAGGGUGGGGAGCAAACAGGCUUAGAUACCCUGGUAGUCCACCCCGUAAACGUUGGGAACUAGUUGUGGGGUCCAUUCCACGGAUUCCGUGACGCAGCUAACGCAUUAAGUUCCCCGCCUGGGGAGUACGGCCGCAAGGCUAAAACUCAAAGGAAUUGACGGGGACCCGCACAAGCGGGCGGAGCAUGCGGGAUUAAUUCGAUGCAACGCGAAGAAACCUUACCAAGGCUUGACAUAUAGAAGGAAACGUCUGGAAACAGUCUCCCCGCAAGGUCUCUAUACAGGUGGUGCAUGGUUGUCGUCAGCUCGUGUCGUGAGAUGUUGGGUUAAGUCCCGCAACGAGCGCAACCCUCGUUCUAUGUUGCCAGCACGUAAUGGUGGGAACUCAUGGGAUACUGCCGGGGUCAACUCGGAGGAAGGUGGGGAUGACGUCAAAUCAUCAUGCCCCUUAUGUCUUGGGCUUCACGCAUGCUACAAUGGCCGGUACAAAGGGCUGCAAUACCGUGAGGUGGAGCGAAUCCCAAAAAGCCGGUCCCAGUUCGGAUUGAGGUCUGCAACUCGACCUCAUGAAGUCGGAGUCGCUAGUAAUCGCAGAUCAGCAACGCUGCGGUGAAUACGUUCCCGGGUCUUGUACACACCGCCCGUCAAGUCAUGAAAGUCGGUAACACCUGAAGCCGGUGGCCCAACCCUGUGGAG